RNAcentral lists this transfer RNA (72 nucleotides) under Anolis limifrons. RNAcentral describes it as "tRNA-Asx". The record is from RNAcentral. Lineage: Eukaryota; Metazoa; Chordata; Lepidosauria; Squamata; Anolidae.
CUGAGAAGGCGGGCCUUGAUCCCGCAAAAAUUAGUUAACAGCUAAUUACCCUAACCAGCGGGCUUCUACUCG